This 250-nucleotide ribosomal RNA is filed under the name uncultured bacterium. RNAcentral describes it as "partial 16S ribosomal RNA". It matches the Rfam family "Bacterial small subunit ribosomal RNA", at positions 81 to 334 of the family's 1533-position model. The record is from RNAcentral.
CUCCCUGGCGGCGAGUGGCGGACGGGUGAGUAACGCGUAGGAAUCUGCCCAGUAGUGGGGGACAACCCCGGGAAACCGGGGCUAAUACCGCAUACGCUCUACGGGGGAAAGCGGGGGAUCUUCGGACCUCGCGCUAUUGGAUGAGCCUACGUCCGAUUAGCUUGUUGGUGGGGUAAAGGCCUACCAAGGCGACGAUCGGUAGCUGGUCUGAGAGGACGAUCAGCCACACUGGGACUGAGACACGGCCCAG